GCUCAUGCGCCGAAUAAUAGACCUUAGUUUAGGUAUUGGGGCCAAAGGAUGGAUGACCAUUUCAAACGAUCCAGGCUAAGCCAGGAGGAGAGCUCAAAGUCUGAUCUGGUACGUUGCAAGGAUCGAGGGACAGAGCGUGCAGCAAGUGGCCAAUGAAUAGAAGUCUGGUUUUCUGAGCAUCCUUGCAGCUGCAGGCUUCAGUCUACCAGAGAAUGUGAGGUGUUAUUCUUCUAGGGCAGUGGUUAGAAAAGAAAAUGAAAGUAGCAGUACUCUUUUCCUAAUGCAACCAUAGAUGAUCAGAAUUUGUAAUCCAUAAGGUAGAAGCUGCUGUGCCUGAAGAAAUAGAAAGUGGGCAGAGGUGGAGGGGCAAGAGCAGGAGGUGACCAAUCUUGGAAAUAAGGAAGGGAGAGAGGCAGCCAAGCCAGCAGCUCCUAGGAUUAGUCACUGCCUGGAGCCAGCUCUUGGAAGUUCCCCAGGAGCUGUCCAGUCUUAUGUCAUGUCUAGUCAGCAGAGUCCCAAAGAAGCUUGUCAUUCUCUAGGCAUUUGUGCUUACAUUCUGAUGGGCCUAAUAGCAGGGAGAUGACAUGGAGCCCAGGCAGAACUGCUGAGAUUUCUACUGGUCAUGACCUCCAUCUUCUCCUUCACACCUUUCCUACCUUUCUUUUUUCAUGCAUUCAACAGACAUUUAUUACCCAAUAAGUGCCAGGUAGUAAGCGAGGACCUGGGGAGAGCAGAUGAGUAAGACACCGUCUCUGUCUCUCAGGAGCUCUCAGAUUCUUAGGGACACAUGUACAUCCUAAUAAACACAGUGCAUCUCA
Molecule: long non-coding RNA, 818 nt
Organism: Homo sapiens (human)
Lineage: Eukaryota; Metazoa; Chordata; Mammalia; Primates; Hominidae
Source: Ensembl